Molecule: ribosomal RNA, 488 nt
Filed under: uncultured bacterium
Lineage: Bacteria
Description: bacterial SSU rRNA
Rfam family: Bacterial small subunit ribosomal RNA
Source: RNAcentral
CUACGUGCCAGCAGCCGCGGUAAUACGUAGGUGGCAGGCGUUGUCCGGAAUUAUUGGGCGUAAAGGGCGCGCAGGCGGCUUCUUAAGUCUGUCUUAAAAGUGCGGGGCUUAACCCCGUGAUGGGAUGGAAAUUGGGAAGCUCAGAGUAUCGGAGAGGAAAGCGGAAUUCCUAGUGUAGCGGUGAAAUGCGUAGAUAUUAGGAGGAACACCAGUGGCGAAAGCGGCUUUCUGGACGAAAACUGACGCUGAGGCGCGAAAGCCAGGGGAGCGAACGGGAUUAGAUACCCCGGUAGUCCUGGCCGUAAACGAUGGGUACUAGGUGUAGGAGGUAUCGACCCCUUCUGUGCCGGAGUUAACGCAAUAAGUACCCCGCCUGGGGAGUACGACCGCAAGGUUGAAACUCAAAGGAAUUGACGGGGGCCCGCACAAGCGGUGGAGUAUGUGGUUUAAUUCGACGCAACGCGAAGAACCUUACCAAGCCUUGACAU